This is a long non-coding RNA of Callithrix jacchus (white-tufted-ear marmoset), 8904 nucleotides long. RefSeq lists it as uncharacterized. The record is from RefSeq and is a predicted model, not a curated record. NCBI's taxonomy places the organism in Eukaryota, Metazoa, Chordata, Mammalia, Primates, Cebidae.
ACGGUCAACCGUUGGAACAAGAUAAACGGCACGCCCAAUCUAGUGAGGAUUUUGGACACGGGGACUCCGACUGGGACCCCACCUAAAACCCGAUCUGCGUUGCCGCCUCGGCGGGGCCUCGCUGUCUUACUGAGCACAUUGCAGAAAUUAAGAGAACGUCUAUGACUUGUCCCAGGGGUCACAGUCACAGAUUGCAGAACUGGAACUUGAGCCCAGGUCAACUACCAGAAAAUUCCUGCUUGGGCCAUGCGCAUGUUUUCCAACCUUGUUUACUGGAGGACCUUCUUUCUGCAUCACUGUGGCUACAUGGACGGGGCUAAGCAAACCAAGAGAGUCGUUUCUGUGCAGCACUGACAUUCCCAGGGGCACCACCUGCCCACCCACCCUGAGCAUCCCUCUGCUCAGCCUGCUGGAGCCAGGCUUUCCAGGUCAUGCAGUCUUGGACAGGUCAAGUGGGGCAAAGGCAAUGCCAAGGAAGAUGCUGUGUCCCUUCUGACAGUUGGAGAAGUGGCCAUGAGACCUCUGCUGGGGAAGCCUGACUGCAGUCUCCCAUUGCCUGGUGCCCUGGACAGGAACCUGCCUGGCUGGCCACAUCUUUUGUAACCCACCUGGUUGCCCCUUCUCUUAAACCCAACCGGCUGUUUUACUUUUCUGCUUUUAGAGCUGAAAUGCAUGUGCAUGUUUAUUCCAUUGUUGCAUUUGUAGUCUCUGGGUUGGCCAUUUGGGCAGUUGUCUCUACUCUAUGUGAGGCAGGGCACUUUCCUUGAUUUUUUGAAUUUUUGCCCUUUGUCAUUUUGAGAGAUCACCUAUUGUGCUGAUUCUGGGAUUCCAGGGUCACUUUAUUUUGUGGUCCCAAAUAUGUUUGGUCUUCUGCCUUCCCUACAUUCCAGCCCUUCUGCACCCAGCCUCCACCCCGCUGCGUUUUCUUUUUUAACUCUGGUCCCAAACAUUUGUAUAGUUUGGCUGCUUAACCUAACCACAUCUCAUUCCAUAUGUCUUUUCUCUGUACCCUCAGUUCAUUAAUCAACAAUACUGAUUAUUAAUUACAUUGAUAGACCAUCUUUACUGACUGUAAACACUAAAGUUGUUUUCUCCAUAGAGGGAUGUAUUGUAUUUGAACUAUUCAUCAUUCAAGAAAAAUCCUUGUUUGUGAAGUGAGCUUUUUUAUGAUAGGGGAAAAUUAAUGAGACUGUAAAAACAAUUAUUUUUUCUCUUUUUUUUUGGAGAUAUGUUAAGUUUUGCAGCCUGGAAAGUGACUUAAAUAUAAUAAACUGCCUUGCUGCUGCUGGUCAUCUAGGCAGUCUCAGGUUCUGAAGGGGAGAAGGCAAAGGCAUUGGGGUUCACUGUUAACCACCCUCUGGAUGCUCUGGGAUUUUUCAGUAUUCUGGAUGAAGACUCUCAUUGGCUGAUACCUGGGAAAUCAGUAUUUUUUUUUUUAGCAUUUGGUACUGUUGGCCACCCCCUGGAUGAUCUGGGAUGUUGAGCAUUGACAUUCCUUCUAGGAUUGUGGAAUAGAGUCCCAUCCUAGGGUAAUCAUGGUCUUUCCUUUUAUAUUGUGCCCUAAAGUUAUCAUUUUCUCAAAAGCAUUUUCUUUGCUUAAUGUCACUUAACACUUUGGUACAGGAGAUGAGAAUUUGCAGGGGAAAAUAACUGGGCUCUUGCUACACUGAGAAAACUUUUGUGUCUAGUAGAGAUCCUUGUUAGACAAUGGCACAUCUUUGUUGAUAUAUGUGUAUACAUGUCUAGAUGUGUUUAUGUGUAUGUACAUUUAUUAUGUUAUAUAUUGUGUGUAUGGAGUGCCAAACUGGCUUAUUAACAAAAGAGCACUCAUAAGUUCAAUAAAUAAGUCUAAGCAUUUUUCAAGUUCAUGUCACUUAAGUUCACUAAAAUUUAGGGUUACUAAAAAUUUGUAUGCAAUUCUGUAAAUAAAAUGUGCCAAAGAAGAUAUCCUCUUAUUGAAAAAAAAUUUGACCAAUUCAAACUUAUUUAAAGUGGGGGUUUUAAAUGUGGAUUUAGGAAGAUGAUGUGAAGACAGUUAUAAAUAUGAGGACGUAUUUUUGGUAAUAAAAGAAAUUUUAUGUGAGAAAGAAUCUUACAUAGUAUGGUCUUGUCCUAAAAUAGAAUGAUUGAUUAUUUAGGAAAGAGGGAAAUAUAGGCCAAAGUCCAAGCAUCUUAUAGAUGGUCUGUGUAAGUCAUGAUAAGGUUCAUAAAAGGAAAUUUAUUAACAAUUUUGUAAAUAAAUUAACCAUAACUGAAAGAAAAUUUAUUUAUAAUUGUCUAUGUAAAUGUUGGUUCCCUGUAUUUAAAAAGUUGUUUCUUGUAAGUAUAAGUUUGCUUUCAGUAAAAUUGCCAGAAAUACUGACUUUUAAUUAUAAAAUCUAUUUCAAGACUUCUCAUACAUAGAUAUCUGUUCCUUUCCCCUUGAAAGGUUACAUCUUUUGCAAGCUCAAAGAUGACUACUGUAGAUUCCUCCUGGGAAAAACAAUAUGGUGCUCACUUCAUGCUGUAAUUGAGUAAGGCUUUGAUCCUCCAUGGUGAUGGCUUAGGGAAUGAGUUUCUGGUUUGAUACUUGUGGGACUUCUGCCAUUUAUUUAUUCUUUUUCCUCCCAUGGCCAGCUUAUUGCAAGGGUAUUCCCUCAAGGAUGGUGGGCAACCCAAAACCGAUUAGCUUGAUUAACCAAGUCUAAUUUCCUGACUGCAAUUUUCUUUGAGCUACUAUAGGGAUGAUUCUAGAUCCUAUAAAAAAUCACUCACCAUCUCUUUGGAGGAAACUUAUGUGUCCAUGAUUAAGUUGUAACCUUAGUAAAGGUUUAUUGGUUUCACUUGAGAAAAUACCUUUGCAGGAAGAAAAAGGUUUAAAAGCUAGAGGUUUCAGCUCUGUCCUGGAUUGAGUCUGGUAUUAAGAUAUUUAAAAUAAUUUUUUAAAAAGAACUCUAUGGUUAAAAGUCAACUUAAUUAAAAAUGAAGAUCCAAGCUAUGUAUAUUUAUUUAUUUAUUUAUUUAUUUAAUUUUUUUGAGACAGAGUCUCACUCUGUCACCAGGCACCAGGCUGGAGUGCAGUGGCACAAUCUUGGCUCACUGCAACCUCCGCCUCCCAGGUUCAAGUAAUUCGCCUGCCUCAGCCUCCUAAGUAGCUGGGACUACAAGUGCAUGCCACCACACCCAGCUAAUUUUUUUUGUAUUUAGUAGAGACAGAGUUUCACCAUGUUGGCCAGGAUGGUCUCAAUCUCUUGACCUCAUAAUCCGCCUGCCUUGGCCUCCCAAAGUGCUGGGAUUACAGGCUGAGCCACCGUGCCUGGCCUCCAAGCUAUGUAUAUUUAAAAGACUGUAUGCUUUUUCUAUUUUGGGAUCUUGGGUUUUUGGAAGAUAAAGUGGGUUUCUUUGGGUGUUUCUUCUAAGUUGACUAUAUUAUUUCUCCAGAACAAUUUUCUGUGGAUGACAGAAGUUGUAGGACAGCCACAGUUGACACAAUUAAUAAGGAAAUUGUUGUCUUGUUGUAAUCCUUUUCAAAAGGUGGUUUACAAUCAGCUAUAGGACUCUGAUGAGUAUUGAUAAAUGCAGGUCUCUGACAGCUUUAAAAAUUGUGCCAUUGAGCCAGGUGUGGUGGCUCAUGCCUGGAUUCUCAGCACUUUGAAAGUCCAAGGCAGGCAGAUCGCUUGAGCUUAAGAGUUCCAGACCAGCCUCGGCAACAUGGUGAAACCCUGUCUCCACAAAAAAUACAAAAAUUAAUCACAUGUGGUGGCAUGUGCCUGUAGUCCCAACUACUCAGGAGGAUGAUAUGUGAGGAUCACUUGAGCCUGGAAUGCAGAAGUUGCAGUGAGCUGAGAUUACACCACUGCACUUGAGCCUGGGCAACAUGAGUGAGACCCUGUCUCCAACAAAAAAAGAAAAAGAAAGAAAAAAUUAAAUUAAAUUAAAAAAUGGUACUGUUAAAACAGAAGAAAAAACUUCCAAGACUGUUGUAGAAAGCUAAUAUAUUCAUAGACUAUGGCUCAAUAUCUAUGCUAUAAAGAGUUAAUAGCAUAGACUAAACUAAUAAAAAUGUAAUCUUUUUGUGAUUUUUUGCUUUGAAUGUUUCUGAUUCCUUCUGUUGUUUUUCAGAGUCAAGAAAACUUGUUUUUCUUCUGAACUAUUUACAGCUCUUAGCACUUGAAUAAAGUAUAGUCCUGUAAGCAAAAUUUGGAGCAUAUUUCUUUCUGUCUACCUGAUUUAUUUAGAAUUUGGAAACUAUUUCUGAGUACUCUUAGCUUAUGGCAAUAUAGUUAUUUGCACAAGUACAAUAGAAAUCUGUUUUAUUUUGUAAUAAAACACAGUUAGAGACAUUGGUUAUUUUACCAAGGCUUUGACUGGAAUGGCAUGGUUUUAACUAUAAACAAAUUGCUUUAUGCAAUCAAAGUUGACAUCUAAGGCCAAUAAAAGCCAUUUAGAAAAACUGGCCACAUGCCUUAUCUAUUCAGUACCUGUACAGGGUUCCUGGACCUGUGGUAAAUAAAGAAUGUCACUUUCUGACAGGCCCAGGAGCCUCCAUUUAUCUUGGGACCUCAAGAGGAGAGGAAUUCACCCAACUCAUGCAGAUGCUUCCAAGCGCAGAUAAAUCUGAGGCUUCUACAGGACAGAUUUUCAUACUGUCACAGAGUAGCUACAAAGAUAGGAAAACCUGCCAAAAUUAUUAGAUCAGGGAGCAAGAGAUUAUCUAUGCCUCUAUGUGGCUGAGCUCAAAGAAAAAAGCAAUUUCUGUCAAAAUACAUUUAAAGAGGUUUAUCCUUAGCCAAUAUGAGUGACUGCAACCUGGGGUUACACAAUCUCAAGAGGUCCUGAGAAAGCAUGCCUAAAAUGGUGAGGUUACAGUUUGCUUUAUACAUUUCAGGGAGACAGGAAUUGCAUGUAAAGUCAUAAAUAAAUAUAUGGAUGGUACACAUUGGUUCAUUUCAAAAAGGCAGAACAUCUACAGGGGGAGAGGGGCAGUGCUUUCGAGUCACAGGUGGGUUUUGAGGAUUUUUAAAUUUUUUUUUAGAUGGAGUCUCACACUGUUGCCUGGGCUGGAGUCCAUUGGUGCAGUCUCAGCUCACUGCAGCCCCUGCCUCCCAAGUUAAAGUGAUUCUCCCGCCUCAGCCUCCUGAGUAGCUGGGAUUACAGGUGCCUGCCACCAUGCCCAGCUAAUUUUUUGUAUUUGUAGUAGAUACAGGGUUUCACUAUGUUUACCACGCUGGUCUUGAACUCCUGACCUCAUGAUCUGCCCACCUUGGCCUCCCAAAGUGCUGGGGUUACAGGCAUAAGCCACUGUGCCAGCCAGGGUAUUCUUUAGUGGACAGUUGGUUGAGAGAGUUAAGCUAUUAUCUAAAGACUUGAAGUCACUAGGAAGUAAUACCUGAGUUAAGGUAAGUGGGCUAUGGGGCCAAGGUUCUUGUUAUGUAGAUGAAGCCUCACAGGUGGCAUCCCUGAGAAAGGAUAAAUGGUGAAUAUCUCUUAUGAGACCUUAAAAUACAUCAGGCUCUCUUAAAUCUAGGAAAGGCCUAGAAAGGGAAGGCCUGGCUGCAUGAAUGGAGAUUCUCUACAGAUGCAAAUUUCCCACAAAAGAUGGUUUGCAGGGCCAUUUCAAAAUAUAGAAAAAAAAUUAUUUUCAGGUUAAAUACUUUUAUUUCCUUCAGGGUCUGCUCUCUGUCAUGUGAUGCUAUACCAGAGUCAGGUUGGAAAGUAAGUCACAUUGUACCAGAUUAAUACGAAUCUGCAUAACUAGAUGUUAUGGUUUGUAGGGCAUGACUCCUCAGGUCCCUCAGGUGAGAAUUUGGGCAAGAAAAAAAAAGACUUUAGUCCUGUUCAUGAAAAGAGUCAAGCUCUGUAAAGUAUUUAAAGAAUUUAUUCUGAGCCAAAUAUGAGUGACCAAUGGCCUGCGACACAGCCCCAGGAGAUCCUGAGAACAUGCGUCCAAGGUGGUUGGGAUGCAGUGUGGUAUUUUAUUUAUUUAAUUUGUAAAUUUUAUUAUUUAUUUCUUUUGAGAUGGAGUUUCACUCUUGCUGCCCAGACUGGAGUGCAAUGGCUCCAUCUCAGCUCACUGCAACCUCUGCCUCCUGGGUUCACACGAUUCUCCCACCUCAGCUUGCCAAGUAGCUGGAAUGACAGGCAGUUUUAAGCUUACGUAAAUUGAGCAGAAUGCAUACAGAGGUUCUAAGAAUUCUCAGACUGUGGUCACCCAGUUUUCUUAUUGUUAGCAUCUUGCAUUGGAGUGGUAUGUUCAUUAUAACGGACAAAUAAUAGUUGUUAUUAACUAAAAUCUAAAACCUACAUUAGGGUUCAGCUUUGCAUUGUGCACUCUAAGAGUUCUGAGAAACGCAUAAUGUCUCAUAUCCACCAUUAUGUGCCCUACAGAAUGUUCUGCAUAAAAAUCCCAUGUCUCACCAAUUUAUCCCUUCUCUCCAACACUGAUUUUAAGAAAGGAAACUCUGUUGAUGGAGGAACUGCUGAGGGAUUCACUGCAUCAGGUGAUUUAAGCUGCUCCAUGAUGCUCACACUAACUUGUUCACACACAGUGCCACUUGUAUUUUUGAUUUUGGGAUAAAUCCCAUAAUAUAAUGGUAAAUUUAUUAUCUUCUCCUCAAAAUCUGCAGUUCCAGUGGAAGUCCUUUUUACCACUGAUGUCUUCUUAGUGCAGGAGAGAGUCUACCCCCAGCCUGGCAGUGCUGCUCUGGGUGUUGGCUUUCUCAGCCUUGGGCCCCACACUGAGGUUACUGAAGACAGCCCCAAGGACUGAGUCAGGGAGACCCUGCCUUGGGACGUAGUUAGAGAGCCCACCCCAGACACAGCUCUGUGGAUUCCCAGUAGGCCCUCUCCUGGAGGAAGGAGGCCCUGCUACUCACUCAAAAAGCGGCAAUCAUUUCACUGGGGAGGGAAGAAAAUGCUCCCAGGGAUAGAGUUAGAUUUGCCAUAAAUAAGAUUAUGUGGCAGGAAGGAGAAAGCACCCAUCUCCUCCUUCAGCCCUCUAGUCUGCCAGAGAAGGAACGUUGUAUUGAGGUCACAAGAGGCUUGGAAGAGUCAUCAAAACUCAUUCCUCAGUAUCUCAGCUCUUUGUGGUCAGGGUCUGUGAGGUCUCAGCAUCUGCCUCUCUCAAGGUUUCUCUUAAGGGACAGCAGGGUGAAAACUGCCACAGGAAGGGUAGGGAAGCUGAUUUGCAGAAAGAAGGUUUUCCCCUGUUGGGUCUGGAGAGACAUGAAAAGGCCCUGAGGACAAGAAACCCCAGUGAAGAAGCCUGAGGCCACCUAGCUCUUGUGACUGUACCCACCAUGGCCUGCACGAUGCUUCUCCUUGGGCUCCUUGCUUAUGGGUCAGGUCAGGGGAAGGGACUCUGCAUCCCUGGAGGGACCACACAAGCAGGGUCCAGGUUACCCUCAUCCCUGUGACCAUAACUAUGUGUCUCCUGUUGGUUUUAGGAGUAGAUUCUGUCUGUGGUGACCCAGGAGCCAUCACUCUCAGGGUCUACUGGAGGGAUGGUCACACUCACCUGUGGCCUGAGCUCCGGCUCAGUCCCUACCAGUCACUACCCCAGCUGGUACCAGCAGACCCCAGGCCAGGCUCCACACAUGCUCAUCUGCAGCCCAAACACCUGCCAUUCUGGGGUCCCUGUUCACUUUUCUGGCUCCAUUCUUGGGAGCAAAGUUGCCCUCCGUCACGGGGACUCUGUAGAUGAUGACUCUGAUCAUUACUGUGUGCCACACAUGGGUAGUGGCAACUCCACAGUGAUUUAAACUUAUGAGCAGGUGUAACUAAAACCUCUUUACAACUUAGAAUGAUUCAGCCCUUAGAGGCAGGAGAGAAGGUGAAAGGGUGGGAAUAUCAACACCAUGAGCAGGGUGCCUCCUUACCCCAGUCUCCUGUGCAGGGGUUCACUGCCAGGUGCUUCAUCCAGUCUCUCCCAGGAUGUGUCCACCUCCCCAGCUCACAUGGCUCUAUCUACCCUAGAUACCGAUGGCCAUCACAGUCACCACUGAGCCACGCAGGGGGGCCUCCAAUGCCUGGGUUUCACAGUGCUGCUGCCAGACCACCUACAUGUGAGAAUGGCUGACAAGCAGGAAGCCUUGGUAAUGUCAUCCUUGACCCAGCCAAGGCCACAGUCUCAGGCUCUGGCAUCUGCUCCCCACUUCCACCCCUAGGAGUGUGGGCCAUGGAUGCUGCCCCAACCUGUAAUAUCACCUCACCCAGGAAGGCAGAGGUUAGGUGCAGGGACACCAGUGGUCCAUGCCAUUAGGGGGACUUCUAAUGAAUUUGCAGUAAAAUAUUUUAUCUUCUAGGUAGAAUAUGUGACAUUCUUAAACAAAUGAAUCUUCAUUUUGAAAUAUCCUUAUUCUUUUUGUUGAUUCUGCUAUUAAGUUUUGACAGUAUUCCCAGCUAAAUUUGUUCUCAACAGCUUUGUCAGCAGCCAUCAUGGGUGGUUCUAGAUUAAUAUAGAAGUAGUCCUAUUAUCUCACCUUGAGGACUAAUGCUUUUAUUUAUUCCUUAUUUUUUUUAAUGGCUCGUGGUUCUGGAUGCCUCCUUCCUCCAUUUGAGCAGCAUCGCAGACAAAAAAAAAAAGGCUGCUGGACACCUCCUUUCCAGUGGUCCACAUGACUGUGGAUGAAGGCAUAAGACAGUAAAGUCUUGGACAAACGUAAAUCAGUUAUGAGGCUAAACACUGAUCCAGAACUAUUUGAGGGUUACUUAUGUUGAUAUGUUCAAUAUCACAUUCCUUCCCAGAGGCCUUAUCAAAGGGACAUGGAUGAAUCUGGAGAACGUCAUCCUCAGCAAACUGACACAAGAACAGAAAAUGAAACACCGCAUAUUCUCACUCAUAGGUGGGUGAUGAGAAAUGAGAACACAUGGACACAGAAAGGGGAGUACUAAACACUGGGGUCUAUUGGGGGGAAAAGGGGAGGG